This is a long non-coding RNA of Triticum dicoccoides, 2273 nucleotides long. RefSeq lists it as uncharacterized. Lineage: Eukaryota; Viridiplantae; Streptophyta; Magnoliopsida; Poales; Poaceae. The record is from RefSeq and is a predicted model, not a curated record. The transcript has 2 exons.
UAUCGUGCACCGUCAUGACGGUUCGGUCGCCUCAGCCUGGUUCUGUCGCCUCUCUGCCGCCGGUGUAACUCACGACUGCUGCUCAAGUCCACGCCGCCAUCCCUAUGAGCCUGCAGGUCAACUCCCACCCACUCCAUCCAGAUCCAGCCCACCAGAAGGACCACUCAGGGCGCCGCCCGAUGGGAACUCAAGCCGCCGCCCCGCUGGCCAUCUCCAUCCCCGCCGCCAGUUUGCUGCCCUUGCUCCACGCCAAUGCUGCCGGAGGGGAUCCAGCCGCGCUUGAUGUGGGGCGACACGGGCGAUCUGCGAGGGGAUCCAGCCAACGAGGGUGACGCGAGCGACAGGUCUUCUAAUCGGAUUCAGCCGACACGCUCGAGGAGAUCCAUCCGAGUGACGCGGGUGACGCGGGCGAUCGGUGUUAGAGGAGGGCUGGGCGAGGCGCUGGCUUCAUCUCUCACAGCCCGAAGCCAAAGCCCCCGUGCAUACUGUCACAACCCAAAUCAGAGACCAUCGAGGUCGGCAAUGAACCUCCAUGGAACCAAGCGGUGAGGCAAUUUGACAUCUUCCUCUCCUUCUCUAUGUUGUGCUCCUUCUGUGGUCUGUGCCCACCUGUCUUUUUGCCUCCUGUAUUCUCCAGCUCGACGCAAAGAGAUCGUAUGCUAUUUUAAGAAUUUAUUUGUUGAACUAUUUGUUCAUGAGAUUUCAAUGCAUUUUUGAAGUACAGAAUUUAGUGUUAGAACUAUCUAGUUAGAUUUAGCCAGCAAUGCUAGAUCAUUGUAGAUGUUUUCUGAGAAUGUGAUGUUCUAAAUUUGAGUUGUUCCAACCGAAGUGCUCGAGGGUAUUCAGCAGGGUGAGGCGGGCGAUCACUCUUGCGAGAGCAAGAUGCCCGGGCAAGACGAGGCGACACGGGCGAUGUGGUUGUGCAGUUCCAUCAAAGGUGCUGUCAGUCAAAGUGUUGGAAGCUCAAUUUGUUCGGCAUGUCUGGGAAAACCUUACCUAAAGAAAAGGCUCAUUCUAUUGUAAUAACGGUGAUUUUCUAUUGUAUUUCUUAUUGUUGUUAGCUAGAUGCCUUUGAAUACUCCCCUCUCAUAUUAUGGUGCAAUGGCAUGGCAAGCGAUAAUUUAGAGGGGUUUGUAAAUUUGAAUGGUGUAUACACUAUUAAAUUAGUUUUGCUUCUGAUGCAUCAUUUUUACACUACUUAUCUUGACAUACUCUGUAUCUAAAGAUUCAAAGAGAUAAUCGAGUUUGACUAAAAUUCUUUUUGUUAUCAUGCAUAUAUGGUGUGUCAAAUUGUUGAGUAUUUCCAGAAAGAUAUUCAGGCGGCGCCAGUGGUUGACCUUUCAAGGUCACUGAAUGGUGUUGCUGCAUAGGGCCAUGGAUUGUCCAGAUCCAAAUAACAACAUCUAAAGAUGCAUUUGGAAAGCUGGUGUUAUGCUGAAUUUUUCCAAGUUUCCUUCGCUUCAUAAAAAAAUUUGAGCAUAUUUGGAGAGCUGUAGCUUGAAAAGGUAAUAAUUGGUAACCUACAAUAUCAUAUUUUAAACUGUGGUUUACUUACUAUGGAGAGCCUGGAUUGCAUCUAGAUAAGUUUCUUCUUCAUUUAAGUUGAUUGCAAUAUGCAAACUUAGAGCCCACCAGAGAAAUUCUACUUUAUAUAUGACAACAAUUAGUACCUUUGUGAAAAUGGGGGUCACAUUGAUGCACGGGAUCCAUUCUGUAGUAUAACAUCUUCCCCCAAACAUAUACUGUAUAAUGUAAUAUCCAUCCUUACUUAUUCUGAUUGAUACUGUCCAUGUUGUCCUGCUACUGAUGUUUUGUAACAUUACAAAGAACAUAUGUAAACCAUGUUUAAUUGCUCAAAAUUUGUCAGUGGAUAACAACUAAUUAUUAGAAAAUAAACACUUCAAUGCAGAUGAUCUCUUAAUGCAAUACUUUAAUUGUACUGGUGAAUUAACUCAUCCUUUUGCACUUAAAUAUUUGGCAUUAGGCUUUUAUGAAUCAUUUGUCGUGCAACAUGUUUUUGCCCACCAACAGUUUCAAGAAAGUCACGGUGGGGCUAUGUGCCUGAUGGUUUAGAAGAUGAGAAGUUGUUGGCAAUGAGCAAAGUAACAAGCCUCUAUCUACAAUGUUUCACGUUAUGCCCUCCCUUAGGCAAUUAUCAAAGUACAUGUGUUGGUAUAUAGCAUUUUUAUUUAGUUAUAUGCCUGGUCUCUCUUGGACAAUGUAUUAAUAUAAUUGUAUUUUUUAUGUAUGUAUGCGUAGAUUCAAUUUGCACA